RNAcentral lists this ribosomal RNA (253 nucleotides) under uncultured bacterium. RNAcentral's name for it is "partial 16S ribosomal RNA". It matches the Rfam family "Bacterial small subunit ribosomal RNA", at positions 524 to 776 of the family's 1533-position model. The record is from RNAcentral.
UACGGAGGGUGCAAGCGUUAUCCGGAUUUACUGGGUUUAAAGGGUGCGUAGGUGGCGGGGUAAGUCAGGUGUGAAAUCUCGGGGCUCAACCCCGAAACUGCACUUGAUACUGCCUUGCUCGAGUACUGGAGAGGAGAUUGGAAUUUACGGUGUAGCAGUGAAAUGCGUAGAUAUCGUAAGGAAGACCAGUGGCGAAGGCGAAUCUCUGGACAGUUACUGACACUGAGGCACGAAGGCCAGGGGAGCAAACGGG